Molecule: ribosomal RNA, 495 nt
Filed under: uncultured bacterium
Lineage: Bacteria
Description: partial 16S ribosomal RNA
Rfam family: Bacterial small subunit ribosomal RNA
Source: RNAcentral
GAUGAACGCUGGCGGCGUGCCUAAUACAUGCAAGUCGAGCGAACGGACGAGAAGCUUGCUUCUCUGAUGUUAGCGGCGGACGGGUGAGUAACACGUGGAUAACCUACCUAUAAGACUGGGAUAACUUCGGGAAACCGGAGCUAAUACCGGAUAAUAUUUUGAACCGCAUGGUUCAAAAGUGAAAGACGGUCUUGCUGUCACUUAUAGAUGGAUCCGCGCUGCAUUAGCUAGUUGGUAAGGUAACGGCUUACCAAGGCAACGAUGCAUAGCCGACCUGAGAGGGUGAUCGGCCACACUGGAACUGAGACACGGUCCAGACUCCUACGGGAGGCAGCAGUAGGGAAUCUUCCGCAAUGGGCGAAAGCCUGACGGAGCAACGCCGCGUGAGUGAUGAAGGUCUUCGGAUCGUAAAACUCUGUUAUUAGGGAAGAACAUAUGUGUAAGUAACUGUGCACAUCUUGACGGUACCAAAUCAGAAAGCCACGGCUAACUACG